AACGAACGCUGGCGGCAUGCCUAACACAUGCAAGUCGAACGAGACCUUCGGGUCUAGUGGCGCACGGGUGCGUAACGCGUGGGAACCUGCCCUUAGGUUCGGAAUAACUCCCCGAAAGGGGUGCUAAUACCGGAUAAUGUCUUCGGACCAAAGAUUUAUCGCCUUUGGAUGGGCCCGCGUUGGAUUAGCUAGUUGGUAGGGUAAAAGCCUACCAAGGCGACGAUCCAUAGCUGGUCUGAGAGGAUGAUCAGCCACAAUGGGACUGAGACACGGCCCAGACUCCUACGGGAGGCAGCAGUGGGGAAUAUUGGACAAGGGGCGAAAGCCUGAUCCAGCAAUGCCGCGUGAGUGAUGAAGGCCUUAGGGUUGUAAAGCUCUUUUACCCGGGACGAUAAUGACAGUACCGGGAGAAUAAGCUCCGGCUAACUCCGUG
This 433-nucleotide ribosomal RNA is filed under the name uncultured bacterium. RNAcentral describes it as "partial 16S ribosomal RNA". It matches the Rfam family "Bacterial small subunit ribosomal RNA", at positions 29 to 507 of the family's 1533-position model. The record is from RNAcentral.